RNAcentral lists this ribosomal RNA (468 nucleotides) under uncultured bacterium. Its description in RNAcentral is "partial 16S ribosomal RNA". It matches the Rfam family "Bacterial small subunit ribosomal RNA", at positions 28 to 507 of the family's 1533-position model. The record is from RNAcentral.
GACGAACGCUGGCGGCGUGCUUAACACAUGCAAGUCGAACGGAAAGGCCCUGCUUUUGUGGGGUGCUCGAGUGGCGAACGGGUGAGUAACACGUGGGUAACAUGCCCUUGACUUUGGGAUAACUUCAGGAAACUGGGGCUAAUACCGGAUAGGAGCUCCUGCUGCAUGGGGGGGGUUGGAAAGUUUCGGCGGUUGGGGAUGGACUCGCGGCUUAUCAGCUUGUUGGUGGGGUAGUGGCUUACCAAGGCUUCGACGGGUAGCCGGCCUUGGAGGGUGACCGGCCACAUUGGGACUGAGAGACGGCCCAGACUCCUACGGGAGGCAGCAGUGGGGAAUAUUGCACAAUGGGCGGAAGCCUGAUGCAGCAACGCCGCGUGCGGGAUGACGGCCUUCGGGUUGUAAACCGCUUUCGCCUGUGACGAAGCGUGAGUGACGGUAAUGGGUAAAGAAGCACCGGCUAACUACGUG